This 433-nucleotide ribosomal RNA is filed under the name uncultured bacterium. Its description in RNAcentral is "partial 16S ribosomal RNA". It matches the Rfam family "Bacterial small subunit ribosomal RNA", at positions 29 to 507 of the family's 1533-position model. The record is from RNAcentral.
AACGAACGCUGGCGGCAUGCCUAACACAUGCAAGUCGAACGAGAACAUCGGGUCUAGUGGCGCACGGGGGCGUAACGCGUGGGAACAUGCCCUUAGGUUCGGAAUAACUCCCCGAAAGGGGUGCUAAUACCGGAUAAUGUCUUCGGACCAAAGAUUUAUCGCCUUUGGAUGGGCCGGCGUUGGAUUAGCUAGUUGGUAGGGUAAAAGCCUACGAAGGCGACGAUCCAUAGCUGGGAUGAGAGGAUGAUCAGCCACACUGGGAGUGAGACACGGCCCAGACUCCUACGGGAGGCAGCAGUGGGGAAUAUUGGAAAAUGGGCGAAAGCCUGAUCCAGCAAUGCCGCGAGAGUGAUGAAGGCCUUAGAGUUGUAAAGCUCUUUUACCCGGGAUGAUAAUGACAGUACCGGGAGAAUAAGCUCCGGCUAACUCCGUG